Molecule: long non-coding RNA, 354 nt
Filed under: Daphnia pulicaria
Lineage: Eukaryota; Metazoa; Arthropoda; Branchiopoda; Diplostraca; Daphniidae
Description: uncharacterized LOC124325675
Source: RNAcentral
UCAAACACCAAAACCAUACCUACGCAUCCCGAUCGUCUUUUGUUUUCCCAUCUCUCCUUGACGACACAAACGUCAUCUGUUCGUCUCUAGCGUCGUCAUCGACCCUGCAUCCUUUCUGUGUGUCUCACAUCAAGAAACGUUUCUUAUAUUUCUCUCUCUCUCUCCCCGUCUCAUGUUGGAAGACAUUCGUCUCGUUUUACUCUCCCUCAUACUUUCUCAUCUUGGUAUAUUCCAAACCGUCACACUGUAUUCGAGCCAUAAGAGCAUCUUGCCCUCGCUGUAUCGAGACGGCACAAAGAGACCCUCUGAACAACAAGAGACGGUAUAUUCAAUACAAUCAUUAUAUUGCCCUAA